Molecule: ribosomal RNA, 253 nt
Filed under: uncultured bacterium
Lineage: Bacteria
Description: partial 16S ribosomal RNA
Rfam family: Archaeal small subunit ribosomal RNA
Source: RNAcentral
UACCAGCACCCCGAGUGGUCGGGACGAUUAUUGGGCCUAAAGCAUCCGUAGCCGGUCCUACAAGUCUUCCGUUAAAUCCACCUGCUUAACAGAUGGGCUGCGGAAGAUACUAUAGGGCUAGGAGGCGGGAGAGGCAAGCGGUACUCAGUGGGUAGGGGUAAAAUCCUCUGAUCCAUUGAAGACCACCAGUGGCGAAGGCGGCUUGCCAGAACGCGCUCGACGGUGAGGGAUAAAAGCUGGGGGAGCAAACCGG